GACGGGACCCGCACAAGCAGCGGAGCGUGUGGUUUAAUCGUUGCUACACGAAGAACCUUACCUGGGUUUGACAUAUAAGUUGUAGGGAACUGAAAAGGGACCGACCCUUCGGGGAGCUUAUACAGGUGUUGCAUGGCUGUCGUCAGCUCGUGUCGUGAGAUGUUCGGUUAAGUCCGCUAACGAGCGCAACCCUCGCCGUAUGUUACAAGUGUCAUACGGGACUGCCGGUAAAAAAGCCGGAGGAAGGUGAGGAUGAUGUCAAGUCAGCAUGACCUUUAUAUCCAGGGCUACACACACGCUACAAUGGUCUGUACAAUUGGUUGCCAAGCCGCGAGGCGGAGCCAAUCCGUAAAGUUGGUCUCAGUUCAGAUUGUAGGCUGCAACCCGCCUGCAUGAAGAUGGAGUUGCUAGUAACCGCAGGUCAGCUAUACUGCGGUGAAUACGUUCCCGGGGCUU
This 456-nucleotide ribosomal RNA is filed under the name uncultured Anaerolineaceae bacterium. RNAcentral describes it as "bacterial SSU rRNA". It matches the Rfam family "Bacterial small subunit ribosomal RNA", at positions 916 to 1381 of the family's 1533-position model. Lineage: Bacteria; Bacillati; Chloroflexota; Anaerolineae; Anaerolineales; Anaerolineaceae. The record is from RNAcentral.